Molecule: ribosomal RNA, 491 nt
Filed under: uncultured bacterium
Lineage: Bacteria
Description: partial 16S ribosomal RNA
Rfam family: Bacterial small subunit ribosomal RNA
Source: RNAcentral
GUGAACGCUGGCGGUAGGCCUAACACAUGCAAGUCGAACGGCAGCACAGUAAGAGCUUGCUCUUACGGGUGGCGAGUGGCGGACGGGUGAGGAAUACAUCGGAAUCUACUUUUUCGUGGGGGAUAACGUAGGGAAACUUACGCUAAUACCGCAUACGACCUACGGGUGAAAGCAGGGGAUCUUCGGACCUUGCGCGAUUGAAUGAGCCGAUGUCGGAUUAGCUAGUUGGCGGGGUAAAGGCCCACCAAGGCGACGAUCCGUAGCUGGUCUGAGAGGAUGAUCAGCCACACUGGAACUGAGACACGGUCCAGACUCCUACGGGAUGCAGCAGUGGGGAAUAUUGGACAAUGGGCGCAAGCCUGAUCCAGCCAUGCCGCGUGGGUGAAGAAGGCCUUCGGGUUGUAAAGCCCUUUUGUUGGGAAAGAAAAGCAGCAGGUUAAUACCCCGCUGUUCUGACGGUACCCAAAGAAUAAGCACCGGCUAACUUCGUG